GUAGGGGCCAAGCGUUGUCCGGAUUUAUUGGGCGUAAAGAGCUCGUAGGCGGUUGGGUAAGUCGGGUGUGAAAACUCCAGGCUCAACUUGGAGACGCCACCCGAUACUGCUCUGACUUGAGUUCGGUAGGGGAGUGGGGAAUUCCUGGUGUAGCGGUGAAAUGCGCAGAUAUCAGGAGGAACACCGGUGGCGAAGGCGCCACUCUGGGCCGAAACUGACGCUGAGGAGCGAAAGCGUGGGUAGCAAACAGGAUUAGAUACCCUGGUAGUCCACGCCGUAAACGUUGGGCACUAGGUGUGGGCCCUAACCAACGGGGUCCGUGCCGUAGCUAACGCAUUAAGUGCCCCGCCUGGGGAGUACGGCCGCAAGGUUAAA
RNAcentral lists this ribosomal RNA (375 nucleotides) under uncultured bacterium. RNAcentral's name for it is "bacterial SSU rRNA". It matches the Rfam family "Bacterial small subunit ribosomal RNA", at positions 527 to 898 of the family's 1533-position model. The record is from RNAcentral.